Molecule: ribosomal RNA, 468 nt
Filed under: uncultured bacterium
Lineage: Bacteria
Description: partial 16S ribosomal RNA
Rfam family: Bacterial small subunit ribosomal RNA (bases 58-468)
Source: RNAcentral
GGGGGGGGGGGGGGGGGGGGGGGGGGGGGGCGGGUCGGGCGGGAGGGCCGGGCGGGGGGGGGGUGGUCGGGUGGGGAGCGGGUGGGGAAGACGGGAGUAAGCUGGCCUUGACGGUGGGGUGACUUCAGGAAACUGGGGCUAAUACCGGAUAGGAGCUCCUGCUGCAUGGUGGGGGUUGGAAAGGGUCGGCGGUGGGGGAUGGACUCGCGGCUUAUCAGCUUGUUGGUGGGGUAGUGGCUUACCAAGGCUUUGACGGGUAGCCGGCCUGAGAGGGUGACCGGCCACAUUGGGACUGAGAUACGGCCCAGACUCCUACGGGAGGCAGCAGUGGGGAAUAUUGCACAAUGGGCGGAAGCCUGAUGCAGCAACGCCGCGUGCGGGAUGACGGCCUUCGGGUUGUAAACCGCUUUCGCCUGUGACGAAGCGUGAGUGACGGUAAUGGGUAAAGAAGCACCGGCUAACUACGUG